UGAGACCAAGAUUGUUUUGAUAUCUAUUAACCUAAAUGAAGCAACAAUAUUUCUUGCCACGUUGCAAAAAAUCCUUCAUCCUCAUAAUAAUAAUAUAAUAUAUAAUAUAAUAUAAUAAUUUAUUAAUCCCUCUCCUUUCCAACUAUACAUUAUAGUAUAUAAUUCAUUAAUAUUUCUUGAUUAAUUCUAUAACCUAAAUGAAGCCACAAUGUUUCUUGCCACGUGGCAAGAAACCCUUCAUCCUCAUAAUAAUAAUAUAAUAUAUAAUAUAAUAUAAUAAUCUAUUAAUCUCUCUUCUCCCCAACUAUACGUUAUAGUAUAUGAUUCAUUAAUGUUUCUUGAAUUAAUUUUAUAUUAACGAUUCAUCUAUUAACUAUAAUGUUUCAUCUAUUAAUUCUAUUUUUUUUUUUUUUUUUGUAAUAGCUCUCUCUCCCCCACCCCUUCCCCUCCCCUUUCCUUCCCAACUAUACGUUAUUGGCUAUAUAGUAUAUGAUUCAUUAAUAUUUCAUCAAUUAUUUGUAUAUUAAUGUUUCAUCAAUUAAUAAUAAUUAUAAUCAUAAUUGAUUACUAAACCAACUUUGAAUACGCCUUUACCUUUUCGUACGUAUAUAACCACCAUUUCAUUCUUUCAUUCUGCUAAUUUUUUUUAUAAAAUUUUAAAAUAUAUUUACCUAAUAUGUAAAAUAAUUAGAUUUUAAAUUUAGGUUCUCAGUAUCAAUCAUUACAAAAUUAAUUUUAUUUGAAUGUUCUUACGCCGAUUCUCCUCUACACAUAUCGCCUUUGCAAUUUCCAUGCCAUCGAUCCCAUCCGUGAGUAUUUUUUUUUUUCAAAUAUAACAAAUUUUUUAUAUAGAUUUGAGUGAUUUGGUGAGAAUUAACAACAUUUUGUGGUUAAUUAGAAUUUUUUUGGUUCAAUUUGAGUGAUUUGACAUGAAUAUGUGACAUUUUGAAAUGCUAUAUGUUAUAGAGAUGCUAUAUGUUAUUUGCACAAUUAUUGUUCGUACUACAUUACACCUUCCAAACUAAAUGAAUGAACAAUUUAUAUUGUAUAUAUUAGUAUAAUUCUAUAUACUCUAAUUAGGAUUUACUUAAAAUAUUUUUUUUUCUGUUGCAUUGAUUGCUAUAUAAUUAUCUAUAUUGUACUCUUUUUGACAUACUAAUAUUUUAUUUAGUUAUAUUAAUAUUUUAUUAUUUAUAAAUUUUUUAUUUUAACGGUAACUAUCCCCCGUAUCGCGCAGGUGCCUAUACUAGUAUAAAAAUUAAUGGUGAAUAAAUA
Molecule: long non-coding RNA, 1275 nt
Filed under: Ananas comosus (pineapple)
Lineage: Eukaryota; Viridiplantae; Streptophyta; Magnoliopsida; Poales; Bromeliaceae
Description: long non-coding RNA (ACOM_LNC002339)
Source: RNAcentral